Molecule: ribosomal RNA, 314 nt
Filed under: uncultured bacterium
Lineage: Bacteria
Description: partial 16S ribosomal RNA
Rfam family: Bacterial small subunit ribosomal RNA
Source: RNAcentral
UUAUAAGAGACAGCAGUCGCCACGGUAAGACAGAGGAUGCAAGCGUUAUCCGGAAUGAUUGGGCGUAAAGCGUCUGUAGGUGGCUUUUCAAGUCCGCCGUCAAAUCCCAGGGCUCAACCCUGGACAGGCGGUGGAAACUACCAAGCUGGAGUACGGUAGGGACAGAGGGAAUUUCCGGUGGAGCGGUGAAAUGCGUUGAGAUCGGAAAGAACACCAACGGCGAAAGCGCUCUGCUGGGCCGACACUGACACUGAGAGACGAAAGCUAGGGGAGCAAAUGGGAUUAGAUACCCCUGUAGUCCCUGUCUCUUAUAC